Molecule: ribosomal RNA, 414 nt
Filed under: uncultured soil bacterium
Lineage: Bacteria
Description: bacterial SSU rRNA
Rfam family: Bacterial small subunit ribosomal RNA
Source: RNAcentral
AGAACGAACGCUGGCGGCAUGCCUAAUACAUGCAAGUCGAACGGCUCUUCGGAGCAGUGGCGGACGGGUGAGUAACGCGUGGGAAUGUGCCCUUUGGUACGGAACAACUGAGGGAAACUUCAGCUAAUACCGUAUGUGCCCUUCGGGGGAAAGAUUUAUUGCCAUUGGAGCAGCCCGCGUUGGAUUAGCUAGUUGGUGGGGUAAAGGCCCACCAAGGCGACGAUCCAUAGCUGAUCUGAGAGGAUGAUCAGCCACACUGGGACUGAGACACGGCCCAGACUCCUACGGGAGGCAGCAGGUGGGGAAUAGUGGACAAGUGGGACGAAAGCCUGAUCCAGCAAUGCCGCGUGAGUGAUGAAGGUCCGUUAGGGUUAGUAAAGGUCCUUACGUUUUAACCCGGGAUUAGAACUAAGU